This is a long non-coding RNA of Panicum virgatum (switchgrass), 736 nucleotides long. RefSeq lists it as uncharacterized. Lineage: Eukaryota; Viridiplantae; Streptophyta; Magnoliopsida; Poales; Poaceae. The record is from RefSeq and is a predicted model, not a curated record. The transcript has 4 exons.
UUGCAGAUUCUUACUUCUCCACCAACAAUUUAAUCAUUUGUCUCUGGCUAGCAAUUUAAGUGUUCUUCUCAGCUAUGUGCUUAGGGUGGGAGCAGCAAAGGAUGUAUACUGUGAAAAAUGAGUAUUCUCAUUUUGGUGCAUCUAUACCUACUAUUCGUUUGCGCCAAUUCAAGGGCAGAUAUUCUAACUGUAUAUUACCCAUCUAUUCAUCACGUUCUUCAACUCUGUAUGCAGUGCGGCCUCAAGGGAAGGUUAUUAAUGAAGCUCAAUUUGGCAAAGAGCUGCAAUCACCUGCAACCAAAUGUUUCAAUUCUCCAUUGGUUUUCUCAACAAGAGGGAGCAAGCAUAUGAAAGACUAAAAGGACAACAAGCAAAGCAAUUUAUUCAUACCAAGGGGAAAGACCCUCCUAAGGAGAAAGGAGGACUGGGAAUCAAGAAAAUUAGGUUGCAAAAUGAAGCUCUGCUACUCAAGCACCUAGAUUCUAUAACAGGAAAGAUGUGCCAUGGGUUAAUCUAGUAUGACACACAUAAUACAAAGAGGGGUAGGUGCCACAUGAGACAGCAACAAGAUGCUAGCCAAAUGUAAUGUAGGUGAUCGGCAAAUGGUUAUGUUAUGGCAUGACAUAUGGAACAACCACAAUUUACAUGAGGAGCUACCAAGGUUAUACUCAUAUGCCAAGAAUAUCAAAGUCUCGGUGGCAGCAUACAUGGCAAACACAGACACAGCUGUCAACUU